RNAcentral lists this long non-coding RNA (300 nucleotides) under Solanum tuberosum (potato). RNAcentral's name for it is "long non-coding RNA (STUB_LNC003122)". The record is from RNAcentral. Lineage: Eukaryota; Viridiplantae; Streptophyta; Magnoliopsida; Solanales; Solanaceae.
GAUUUAGAACAAUAUAACACUUGAGAACAACAACACUUAAAAAUGAAAUAGAGGAACACCACAUGAGAAUGCAAUAUAGUUGCAGCAUCAUAUCCACCAACAAUCUGAUAGCAAUAUAGUAGCACCAAAAAGGAGAUAUCAACACCUGAAAAAUGCAUAGAUAAGCACUUGGAUAAGGCUAAACUACCAUUAACAUUGAACACAUAUUAGCACUCAAAAUAAGCUAAAUUACCAGUGAUUCAUUUUAACUUUGUGUUUGUUGAGAGUAUAUCCAACCAGAAUCUAUAUCAACUACUUCUU